AGAGUUUGAUCCUGGCUCAGGAUGAACGCUAGCGGCAGGCCUAACACAUGCAAGUCGAGGGGUAACGACCUUGCUUUCGGGCGGGGGGCGACGACCGGCGCACGGGUGAGUAACGCGUAUGCAACCUACCCUUUACUGGGGAAUAGCCCGAAGAAAUUCGGAUUAAUGCCCCAUAAUAUUAUUUCUUCUCAUGGAGAGAUAAUUAAAACUCCGGUGGUAAAGGAUGGGCAUGCGUGACAUUAGAUAGUUGGUGAGGUAACGGCUCACCAAGUCUACGAUGUCUAGGGGGCCUGAGAGGGUGAUCCCCCACACUGGUACUGAGACACGGACCAGACUCCUACGGGAGGCAGCAGUGAGGAAUAUUGCGCAAUGGAGGAAACUCUGACGCAGCCAUGCCGCGUGCAGGAUGAAUGCCCUAUGGGUUGUAAACUGCUUUUAUACGGGAAUACACAGCUACGUGUAGUUGUUUGAAUGUACCGUACGAAUAAGCAUCGGCUAACUCCGUGCCAGCAGCCGCGGUAAUACGGAGGAUGCAAGCGUUAUCCGGAUUUAUUGGGUUUAAAGGGUGCGUAGGCGGUUUAUUAAGUCAGUGGUGAAAGUCUGCAGCUUAACUGUAGAAUUGCCAUUGAUACUGAUAGACUUGAAUAUAGUUGAGGUAGGCGGAAUGUGUAAUGUAGCGGUGAAAUGCUUAGAUAUUACACAGAACACCGAUUGCGUAGGCAGCUUACUAAACUAUCAUUGACGCUGAGGCACGAAAGCGUGGGGAGCGAACAGGAUUAGAUACCCUGGUAGUCCACGCUGUAAACGAUGAUCACUCGCUGUUGGCAAUACAUCGUCAGCGGCUAAGCGAAAGCAUUAAGUGAUCCACCUGGGGAGUACGUCGGCAACGAUGAAACUCAAAGGAAUUGACGGGGGCCCGCACAAGCGGUGGAACAUGUGGUUUAAUUCGAUGAUACGCGAGGAACCUUACCUGGGCUUAAAUGUAGAAUGACUUUACUCGAAAGAGUAUUUUCCUUCGGGACAUUUUACAAGGUGCUGCAUGGUUGUCGUCAGCUCGUGCCGUGAGGUGUCGGGUUAAGUCCCAUAACGAGCGCAACCCCUAUCACUAGUUGCCAGCAUGUAAUGGUGGGGACUCUAGUGAAACUGCCGGUGUAAACCGUGAGGAAGGUGGGGGUGACGUCAAAUCAGCACGGCCCUUAUGUCCAGGGCUACACACGUGUUACAAUGGUCGGUACAAAGGGAUGCUACCAGGUGACUGGAUGCUAAUCUCCAAAAACCGGUCUCAGUUCGGAUUGAAGUCUGCAACUCGACUUCAUGAAGCUGGAAUCGCUAGUAAUCGCGCAUCAGCAAUGGCGUGGUGAAUACGUUCCCGGGCCUUGUACACACCGCCCGUCAAGCCAUGGAAGCCGGGGGUACCUGAAGGCUGUAACCGCAAGGAGCGGUCUAGGGUAAAACUGGUAACUGGGGCUAAGUCGUAACAAGGUA
This 1485-nucleotide ribosomal RNA is filed under the name metagenome. RNAcentral describes it as "bacterial SSU rRNA". It matches the Rfam family "Bacterial small subunit ribosomal RNA". The record is from RNAcentral.